RNAcentral lists this Y RNA (102 nucleotides) under Microcebus murinus (gray mouse lemur). RNAcentral's name for it is "Y RNA (ENSMICG00000047369.1)". It matches the Rfam family "Y RNA". Rfam says of the family: Y RNAs are components of the Ro ribonucleoprotein particle (Ro RNP), in association with Ro60 and La proteins. The Y RNAs and Ro60 and La proteins are well conserved, but the function of the Ro RNP is not known. In humans the RNA component can be one of four small RNAs -- hY1, hY3, hY4 and hY5. Lineage: Eukaryota; Metazoa; Chordata; Mammalia; Primates; Cheirogaleidae. The record is from Rfam by way of RNAcentral.
GGUUGGUCCGAGUGCACUGGUGUUUACUACUAAUUGGUCACAACCAGUGUCAGAUUCCUUUGUUGCUUCUCCAUGCCCACUGCUUCACUUGACCAGCCAAUC